CUGAGAGAGGAGCUUGCUCUUCUUGGAUGAGUUGCGAACGGGUGAGUAACGCGUAGGUAACCUGCCUUGUAGCGGGGGAUAACUAUUGGAAACGAUAGCUAAUACCGCAUAACAAUGGAUGACACAUGUCAUUUAUUUGAAAGGGGCAAUUGCUCCACUACAAGAUGGACCUGCGUUGUAUUAGCUAGUAGGUGAGGUAAUGGCUCACCUAGGCGACGAUACAUAGCCGACCUGAGAGGGUGAUCGGCCACACUGGGACUGAGACACGGCCCAGACUCCUACGGGAGGCAGCAGUAGGGAAUCUUCGGCAAUGGGGGCAACCCUGACCGAGCAACGCCGCGUGAGUGAAGAAGGUUUUCGGAUCGUAAAGCUCUGUUGUAAGUCAAGAACGGGUGUGAGAGUGGAAAGUUCACACUGUGACGGUAGCUUACCAGAAAGGGACGGCUAACUACGUGCCAGCAGCCGCGGUAAUACGUAGGUCCCGAGCGUUGUCCGGAUUUAUUGGGCGUAAAGCGAGCGCAGGCGGUUUGAUAAGUCUGAAGUUAAAGGCUGUGGCUCAACCAUAGUUCGCUUUGGAAACUGUCAAACUUGAGUGCAGAAGGGGAGAGUGGAAUUCCAUGUGUAGCGGUGAAAUGCGUAGAUAUAUGGAGGAACACCGGUGGCGAAAGCGGCUCUCUGGUCUGUAACUGACGCUGAGGCUCGAAAGCGUGGGGAGCGAACAGGAUUAGAUACCCUGGUAGUCCACGCCGUAAACGAUGAGUGCUAGGUGUUGGAUCCUUUCCGGGAUUCAGUGCCGCAGCUAACGCAUUAAGCACUCCGCCUGGGGAGUACGACCGCAAGGUUGAAACUCAAAGGAAUUGACGGGGGCCCGCACAAGCGGUGGAGCAUGUGGUUUAAUUCGAAGCAACGCGAAGAACCUUACCAGGUCUUGACAUCCCGAUGCUAUUUCUAGAGAUAGAAAGUUACUUCGGUACAUCGGUGACAGGUGGUGCAUGGUUGUCGUCAGCUCGUGUCGUGAGAUGUUGGGUUAAGUCCCGCAACGAGCGCAACCCUUAUUGUUAGUUGCCAUCAUUCAGUUGGGCACUCUAGCGAGACUGCCGGUAAUAAACCGGAGGAAGGUGGGGAUGACGUCAAAUCAUCAUGCCCCUUAUGACCUGGGCUACACACGUGCUACAAUGGUUGGUACAACGAGUUGCGAGUCGGUGACGGCGAGCUAAUCUCUUAAAGCCAAUCUCAGUUCGGAUUGUAGGCUGCAACUCGCCUACAUGAAGUCGGAAUCGCUAGUAAUCGCGGAUCAGCACGCCGCGGUGAAUACGUUCCCGGGCCUUGUACACACCGCCCGUCACACCACGAGAGUUUGUAACACCCGAAGUCGGUGAGGUAACC
RNAcentral lists this ribosomal RNA (1386 nucleotides) under Streptococcus thermophilus. RNAcentral describes it as "bacterial SSU rRNA". It matches the Rfam family "Bacterial small subunit ribosomal RNA", at positions 67 to 1440 of the family's 1533-position model. The record is from RNAcentral. Lineage: Bacteria; Bacillati; Bacillota; Bacilli; Lactobacillales; Streptococcaceae.